UUUUGUUUUAAAUAGUUGUCGAAAUCUAAUUCAAAUAUUGGAGAAAGAAGAUUUGUGAACUGAUAAAAAAUGUAUUUAGGUGCGUUUUGCUCAUUUUAAGGGAUUGCAAUUGUAUUUUGGUUUGUCAAAUAUUUUUUGUCUUAAAUAGUUUUCAAAAUCUAGUUCAAAUUUUAGAGAAAUCUGCGUGAUAUAUGGGAUUGGAAUAUAUUUGGAAUAUUUUUUGUUUGUUAAUCAAUUUAUUACCAAAAG
RNAcentral lists this small RNA (249 nucleotides) under Arabidopsis thaliana (thale cress). RNAcentral describes it as "ATSL178080". Lineage: Eukaryota; Viridiplantae; Streptophyta; Magnoliopsida; Brassicales; Brassicaceae. The record is from RNAcentral.